Molecule: long non-coding RNA, 725 nt
Filed under: Anas platyrhynchos platyrhynchos (common mallard)
Lineage: Eukaryota; Metazoa; Chordata; Aves; Anseriformes; Anatidae
Description: lncRNA (ENSAPLG00000018684.1)
Source: RNAcentral
CCAGGUGCAGAGGUACUACUGUGACUCAAUGAAAGUGACUCAACAAUGGUGGGUAAGUACAAUGGCUCUGCUUUUAGGAUCCUUUGACUCAUUCUACAAGUUUUGUUUUCUUACAUUUCAAAGAUGUUUUGCUUCUAUUCUACAGCAAAUAGUGUAUCUGCAAUGUCAAGAGCAAUUGCAGGAUUUACAAGUCUGGGGUUAGAUAUUCCCAAAUCAGCUUGCUUUUUGUAGGGACAAAUCUUGACAUACUGAAAUUUUGGAAACAGUAAGUUAUUAAAGAGGAGGUAGCCCCAGGUGACAAAGGGAAAUUGGAAAACAUGACAAGAAAAAGUAGAUUGUUAUUCCUGCAGAGGAGUAUCAGUGAGUUGUCUCCCCCAUCCUUUCUUCCCUGUAUUUUUUGUUGUUGUUGUUUUUGUUUUUAAUCUUGAACUUUCUUAUUUAAGAUUUUUUUUUAUUUUUAUUUUUGUCUAGGAAGAACUUGGUAAAUGCUUCCUGUGUAUGUAGAAAAGAUGUCUCUUGUGAUGUCACAGGGAUAGUGUGGUCAGGAGAUGAGAAUUAAUGAGAGGAGGUGCAGAGAGUACUUAGACCUUUGUCUUGGAACCUACUAUUUUCUGCUUUUGCUUGCAGACCUUGUAUUUCCUCUUAUUUUGCAUCUUAAGGGAAACAGAAGAAUGGUCUGCCAUCCAGUGUUGGUAGGUUGUACCAUGAGGAAAGAAUCCACCUAA